This 73-nucleotide transfer RNA is filed under the name Actinomyces sp. RNAcentral describes it as "tRNA-Thr". It matches the Rfam family "tRNA". Rfam says of the family: Transfer RNA (tRNA) molecules are approximately 80 nucleotides in length. Their secondary structure includes four short double-helical elements and three loops (D, anti-codon, and T loops). Lineage: Bacteria; Bacillati; Actinomycetota; Actinomycetes; Actinomycetales; Actinomycetaceae. The record is from RNAcentral.
GCUCCCUUAGCUCAGUUGGUAGAGCGUCGCCAUGGUAAGGCGAAGGUCGACAGUUCGAUCCUGUCAGGGAGCU